This 221-nucleotide long non-coding RNA is filed under the name Pelobates cultripes (western spadefoot toad). Lineage: Eukaryota; Metazoa; Chordata; Amphibia; Anura; Pelobatidae. The record is from RNAcentral.
GUUAUCUACAUCCUGUGUCAAUAAUGGUUGCGCAUCACUCAUUUCUUCAAACGUAUGUGUAAAUAACUCCUCUGACAUACCAAGUGAAGCGGCUGUGGUGCUAGUGUUGGUGGUGGUGGCAGGCGGGUGAGUGGUAUCUUGAGAGGUGCCCGAAGCUAAGCUGGAGGAGGAUGUUGCGCCAAGGUUCCGAGCGGAAGCUGUAGAAGAUUGGGUGUCCUGUG